GGCUGGGCAUGCCAGGCACAGCAAGUGGGUCAGGCUGCAUGGUGUGACCUGCUUCCUUGCCCGCAGCCAUCUGGGUCCUGAAAGAGCCAAAUACUUCCUGAGCCCGCCAGCCCUGGCGCGAUGCAGGCGCCCCAGGGAGCUGGGCCUGCUGGAGGCAGCAGGAGGUGCCCUGGCUGGGACGCGCCUCUCUCAUGCCCAGGAUGCAGCGGAUGGCACAGUGGAGGCGGCAGCUGCAUGUGAUGCACCGGCUGGGGAAGCUGCACCAGGAUGAAACCAGCCUGCUGCUGGCCAGGGAGCCGCUCGCCAACCUCAAUGACAACCGGGGGGCGCAGGGGCCGGCCCGCUAUCUGCACAGGGCCCUCCAGGGAGGUCGCUGAGCAGGUGCCUGCUGGCUGUGGAGCCCAGUCCUGGCAUGGUGCCCCACAGCCGAUGCCAGAGCCAGCUGUGGGCGAAGCGUGGCCUGGACCCCGGACUCCCGCUCCCAUGCCCCCGCUGAGUGGGCAGAGGCUGCUGCAUGUUCACCCCAAGCUGGGGCCUGUGCUGGGGGCUGGACAGGCAGUGCUGGGGGGCCAAGGCAUGCCCCUGGCUGGCUGGCUAGUAGCCUGUGGAAUCUGCAGCACAAGGGGAGGGACUGGGCACAGGAUCUCCAGGCCACUGGUGCCAGCGUGUGUCCAGGGAGAUGGGAUUUGUCGCCUGCGCCGCAUGGCAGUGUGUUGGCUGGGCACUGAGCCUGUAGCAAAUGGAUCUGCCCCCCAGGGCUGUGCUCAGUCUGGCCAACGCCAGUCAAUGCGCCAGUGGCGCAGGCAGUGAGAAAGGCGCUCUGCCCCUCAUUCCCUCUCAGCUGCGCCCAGAGCUUAGGGCAGAGGGGCUGGCACUGACAGUGAGACCCAGCAGCUCUGCCAGUCCUGAGCGGAGGUGUGAGAAUCAGCCUUCCCCUCACAGGCAAGCUGGAGCUAACCGGGUGGGCCGCUCCCAGGCUGGGCUCCGCGAGUCCCUCUGGCCGGGCCUUUGCCGGGGGCGCCCAUGUGGCCAGGGGCUGCGGGCAGGGGCGGCGAGUUAGAUAGACGUGGUGCCCAGGCUCCAGGAAUAUUCCAGGUCUCUCCCCCAGCCCCGCCUGAUGCCCCCGGGUGAUUUAAAAGGGCCCGGAGACCCCUGGCCACCACCAUCGGCAGCUCAGCUGGGUAAGACAGCUUCUUCCCCGGCCUCACUCCGCGCUACUCCUGGAAGUGGCCGGAAUGGCCCUACAGCCCCUGGAGAGCAGGGGGUCUCCGCACGCUGUCUCUGCCCCAAGCGCCGACUCUGCAACUCCCAUUGGCUGGGAACUACAGCCAAUAGGAGCUAUGGGGGUGGUGCCUGCGGCCCCCCUGCCUCUAAGCCACUGCCAAUGUGGGGUGCUGGUCACUUUUGGGAGCUGCCCAAGAUAAUCGCUGCACCCCUUUCCUGCACCCCAAACCCCUGCCCCAGCCCAGAGCCCUCACCCCAACCCCGCUUCUGCACCCAAAAUCCCUCCCAGAGCCCGAUCCCACCGCACCCAAACUCUUUCCCACAGCCCAACCCUCCUCCCACACCCAACCCCCCUCCUGCACCCAAACUCCCUCCCAGAGCCCGACCCCACCGCACCCAAACUCCUUCCCACAGCCCGACCCUCCUCCCACACCC
Gopherus agassizii (Agassiz's desert tortoise) is the source of this 1659-nucleotide long non-coding RNA. NCBI's taxonomy places the organism in Eukaryota, Metazoa, Chordata, Testudines, Testudinidae. The record is from Ensembl.